This 495-nucleotide ribosomal RNA is filed under the name uncultured bacterium. RNAcentral describes it as "bacterial SSU rRNA". It matches the Rfam family "Bacterial small subunit ribosomal RNA", at positions 47 to 507 of the family's 1533-position model. The record is from RNAcentral.
CCUAAUACAUGCAAGUCGAACGAACUCUGGUAUUGAUUGGUGCUUGCAUCAUGAUUUACAUUUGAGUGAGUGGCGAACUGGUGAGUAACACGUGGGAAACCUGCCCAGAAGCGGGGGAUAACACCUGGAAACAGAUGCUAAUACCGCAUAACAACUUGGACCGCAUGGUCCGAGUUUGAAAGAUGGCUUCGGCUAUCACUUUUGGAUGGUCCCGCGGCGUAUUAGCUAGAUGGUGAGGUAACGGCUCACCAUGGCAAUGAUACGUAGCCGACCUGAGAGGGUAAUCGGCCACAUUGGGACUGAGACACGGCCCAAACUCCUACGGGAGGCAGCAGUAGGGAAUCUUCCACAAUGGACGAAAGUCUGAUGGAGCAACGCCGCGUGAGUGAAGAAGGGUUUCGGCUCGUAAAACUCUGUUGUUAAAGAAGAACAUAUCUGAGAGUAACUGUUCAGGUAUUGACGGUAUUUAACCAGAAAGCCACGGCUAACUACGUG